This 455-nucleotide ribosomal RNA is filed under the name Tripleurospermum inodorum (scentless false mayweed). RNAcentral describes it as "Tripleurospermum maritimum subsp. inodorum partial internal transcribed spacer". Lineage: Eukaryota; Viridiplantae; Streptophyta; Magnoliopsida; Asterales; Asteraceae. The record is from RNAcentral.
UCGAACCCUGCAAAGCAGAACGACCCGUGAACACGUAAAAACAACUGAGCGUCGAGAGUGGACCAAGGAAUUUUUGAAUACACUCGAUGCUUUGUCAAUGUGCAUUUACCUUUGUUCUUUUGGACUUGGUGAAUGUGUCAUUGGCGCAAUAACAACCCCCGGCACAAUGUGUGCCAAGGAAAACUAAACUUAAGAAGGCUUGUUUUAUGUUGCCCCGUUUGCGGUGUGCUCAUGGAACGUGGCUUCUUUAUAAAUCGCAUCGCCUCCAACAAAUAUUUGUUGGGGACGGAUAUUGGUUUCCCGUGCUCAUGGUGUGGUUGGCCAAAAUAAGAGUCCCUUCGAUGGACGCAUGAACUAGUGGUGGUCGUAAAAACCCUCGUUCUUUGUUCUGUGUUAGUCGUAAGGAAAAACUCUCUAAAUACCCAAUGUGUUGUCUUUGGAUGAUGCUUCGACCG